RNAcentral lists this ribosomal RNA (253 nucleotides) under uncultured bacterium. RNAcentral's name for it is "partial 16S ribosomal RNA". It matches the Rfam family "Bacterial small subunit ribosomal RNA", at positions 524 to 776 of the family's 1533-position model. The record is from RNAcentral.
GACGUAGGGCGCGAGCGUUGUCCGGAUUUAUUGGGCGUAAAGAGCUCGUAGGCGGCUUGUCGCGUCGUCCGUGAAAACCUGCGGCUCAACUGCAGGCUGGCAGUCGAUACGGGCAGGCUAGAGUUCGGUAGGGGAGACUGGAAUUCCUGGUGUAGCGGUGAAAUGCGCAGAUAUCAGGAGGAACACCGGUGGCGAAGGCGGGUCUCUGGGCCGAUACUGACGCUGAGGAGCGAAAGCGUGGGGAGCGAACAGG